CCAGUACAACAGGGAUUGCCUUAGUAACGGCGAGUGAAGCGGCAAAAGCUCAAAUUUGAAAUCUAGCACUUUCAGUGUUCGAGUUGUAAUUUGAAGAAGGUAACUUUGGAAUUGGCUCUUGUCUAUGUUCCUUGGAACAGGACGUCACAGAGGGUGAGAAUCCCGUGCGAUGAGAUGUCCAAUUCUAUGUAAAGUGCUUUCGAAGAGUCGAGUUGUUUGGGAAUGCAGCUCUAAGUGGGUGGUAAAUUCCAUCUAAAGCUAAAUAUUGGCGAGAGACCGAUAGCGAACAAGUACAGUGAUGGAAAGAUGAAAAGAACUUUGAAAAGAGAGUGAAAAAGUACGUGAAAUUGUUGAAAGGGAAGGGCUUGAGAUCAGACUUGGUAUUUUGUGUUCCUUAUCCUUCUUGGAUUGGGUUCCUCACAGCUUACCGGGCCAGCAUCGGUUUGGAUGGCAGGAUAAUGACAUUGGAAUGUAGCUUUGCUUCGGUGAAGUGUUAUAGACUUUGUUGAUACUGCCUAUCUAGACCGAGGACUGCGUCUUGACUAGAUGCUGCG
This 554-nucleotide ribosomal RNA is filed under the name Dujonia railenensis. RNAcentral describes it as "LSU rRNA". It matches the Rfam family "Eukaryotic large subunit ribosomal RNA", at positions 56 to 630 of the family's 3401-position model. Lineage: Eukaryota; Fungi; Ascomycota; Pichiomycetes; Serinales; Debaryomycetaceae. The record is from RNAcentral.